AAGGCCAGAUCCUGCAGGUUAACCUUUUGGGAGGCUGUGUUACAGUCGCCAGGGAGCUGGUCCUGGGGUCUGCUUCCAGUGUCCCCAACCCAGCCCUGCAGCCCGGUGCCCUGUGGAGAGCAGCUGGGCUGGGAGGGCCACGCAGCAGUGGCAGGGGCACGAGGGGGAGAGAAAGGGCAGGAGCAGGCAGUUCCCCGUGGCUCCGCAUCCCCUCGCCGGCUCUAACAGGUUUCUCUGCUCCGCUCAGGCCACCCAUCAGCACCGGAGGGGUCCCAGCCCGGCCUGGGGGGCUGUGUUGGCACAGCUGGGGAGCGGUGGGAGAAGCAGAACCGGCUGCAGACAGAGAUCCUGGAGUUGCAGAAGGAGACCUUGCAGCUGCAAAAGGAGAAGAUCCUGCUGGAAAAGGAGAAGCUCUUCCUGGAAAUCAUCAAACUCCGCAGGGAACUGGGCACCUGACAGUCCUCUGCAGGCGCUGGGGCGGCCCAGGGCCACGGUCCCCACUGUGGGGAUGGGGACAGCCCGCUCCUCCGGGGGUGGGCACUGGCUGCCGCCGGGAUCCCGUGGGGUGAGGCCAGGACAGCUGCGCCGUGAGCUGCCCUCUCCUUCCCAUCUCCAGGCCCGGGGCCAUGCCUAUCUUGGGCUCCCUCCUGCCUGCUGCCUGCCUGCGUGCCCUCGGCCAGCCCAGCGGGAGCCAGCCCUGGUGUGGCAUGUCGUCCCACCGCCACAGGAGCCUCGUCCCGCCGAGGCGGGUUUGGAUGGGCAGCAGUGGCGGGGUGCUCACAGUGUGGGCAUGGCCGCCUCCACUGUCACCCAUUUCCCGGGGGACAUUUAAUGGCUUGGAGCUCCCCGAGCGUCUUGGCAGUGGCAGUGUGGGGCUUGGGCACUGCUGGUCGCUGCAGGUGACCAUAUCUGAAUAAAGGUGAUCUCUGCAGGUCGAGUGCCCAGUGCUGUGCCUGAGCGGGGUGGGGGUGAAGUCACCCAGGGGGUGGUUUGGGAGUGCAGGCAGGUGCCAAGGCUGCCAGCAUAGUGUCUCAGCUGUGGGUACCACCGGCCAAGGCUGGACCAGGG
Molecule: long non-coding RNA, 1068 nt
Filed under: Athene cunicularia (burrowing owl)
Lineage: Eukaryota; Metazoa; Chordata; Aves; Strigiformes; Strigidae
Description: lncRNA (ENSACUG00000006444.1)
Source: RNAcentral